GAUGAACGCUGGCGGCGUGCCUAAUACAUGCAAGUCGAGCGAACAGACGAGGAGCUUGCUCCUCUGACGUUAGCGGCGGACGGGUGAGUAACACGUGAAUAACCUACCUAUAAGACUGGGAUAACUUCGGGAAACCGGAGCUAAUACCGGAUAAUAUAUUGAACCGCAUGGUUCAAUAGUGAAAGACGGUUUUGCUGUCACUUAUAGAUGGAUCCGCGCCGCAUUAGCUAGUUGGUAAGGUAACGGCUUACCAAGGCAACGAUGCGUAGCCGACCUGAGAGGGUGAUCGGCCACACUGGAACUGAGACAUGGUCCAGACUCCUACGGGAGGCAGCAGUAGGGAAUCUUCCGCAAUGGGCGAAAGCCUGGCGGAGCAACGCCGCGUGAGUGAUGAAGGUCUUCGGAUCGUAAAACUCUGUUAUUAGGGAAGAACAAAUGUGUAAGUAACUAUGCACGUCUUGACGGUACCUAAUCAGAAAGCCACGGCUAACUACGUGCCAGCCGCCGCCGUAA
Molecule: ribosomal RNA, 513 nt
Filed under: uncultured bacterium
Lineage: Bacteria
Description: partial 16S ribosomal RNA
Rfam family: Bacterial small subunit ribosomal RNA
Source: RNAcentral